UACGGAGGGAGCUAGCGUUGUUCGGAAUUACUGGGCGUAAAGCGCACGUAGGCGGCUUUGCAAGUUAGAGGUGAAAGCCCGGGGCUCAACUCCGGAAUUGCCUUUAAAACUGCAUCGCUAGGGUUGUGGAGAGGUAAGUGGAAUUCCGAGUGUAGAGGUGAAAUUCGUAGAUAUUCGGAAGAACACCAGUGGCGAAGGCGACUUACUGGACACAUACUGACGCUGAGGUGCGAAAGCGUGGGGAGCAAACAGG
This 253-nucleotide ribosomal RNA is filed under the name uncultured bacterium. RNAcentral describes it as "partial 16S ribosomal RNA". It matches the Rfam family "Bacterial small subunit ribosomal RNA", at positions 524 to 776 of the family's 1533-position model. The record is from RNAcentral.